CCUCUAUUAAAGAGAAGAAAGAAAGAAAAAGAAAGAAAGAGAGCAAAGGAAGCUGAACAAAGAAAAGGAGGAAGGAAGGAAACAAGCAAGCAAUUCAUCCAUCCAAUCCUAGGGAAAAGCAAUAAGCAUUCUAAUGACAACUGUGUAAUCUGUGAUCUCCAAAUGUCAGCUGUGCAGCCAGCAGAUUUGCAGCCAAAGCUAUCAGCGAAGUAGCAUCUGAAACAAGCUAGAAAACAGUGGUUGUUUCCAUUCCCGCGGAAGCUGAGUGACGCUAGAAAUAACACCACGCAGAUUCUUCCCUUCUCCGGUACAGAGAACUCUUACUAUCACAUUGCAUCACGGAUCCCCUCCUUCCUGAACUCCAUCCUCCCUGCUCCGGAACAAUCUUCUUCAUUCUGUACUCCCUUGUACACUUUCAAGAAGAAAAGGACACACUUAGGGAAAGAAGUUUCCCCGAGUACACAAUGUAAAUGUCUAAAAGUGUUUUGUCAAAAGUACACAACGAGCUGGCUAAAAUAUACCGGGUAGUAAGUACUUAUUCAUUAUUGGAGGACAAGCAGGUCUUCAGUCAAGGGGCUGAAGGUUGUUCAACUAUUCCUUUGAGAAAAGGCCAC
Molecule: long non-coding RNA, 614 nt
Filed under: Fukomys damarensis (Damara mole-rat)
Lineage: Eukaryota; Metazoa; Chordata; Mammalia; Rodentia; Bathyergidae
Description: lncRNA (ENSFDAG00000024486.1)
Source: RNAcentral